RNAcentral lists this transfer RNA (72 nucleotides) under Polycladospora coralii. It matches the Rfam family "tRNA". From Rfam's summary of the family: Transfer RNA (tRNA) molecules are approximately 80 nucleotides in length. Their secondary structure includes four short double-helical elements and three loops (D, anti-codon, and T loops). Lineage: Bacteria; Bacillati; Bacillota; Bacilli; Caryophanales; Thermoactinomycetaceae. The record is from Rfam by way of RNAcentral.
UGGGAAGUAGCCAAGUGGUAAGGCAACGGACUUUGACUCCGUCAUUCGUAGGUUCGAUCCCUACCUUCCCAG